AUAGGUAUGCAAAGCGAACGCGGCGAACUGAAACAUCUAAGUAGCUGCAGGAAAAGAAAUCAACCGAGAUUCCCAAAGUAGUGGCGAGCGAAAUGGGAAGAGCCUGCACGUUUUAGCAUGACGCAUAGAAGAAUCCUCUGGAAAUAGGAGCCAUAGCGGGUGAUAGCCCCGUAUUCGAAAUGCGAUGUGUGGAACUAAGCGUGCGACAAGUAGGGCGGGACACGAGAAAUCCUGUCUGAAUAUGGGGGGACCAUCCUCCAAGGCUAAAUACUCGUAAUCGACCGAUAGUGAACCAGUACCGUG
Molecule: ribosomal RNA, 303 nt
Filed under: Rugamonas rivuli
Lineage: Bacteria; Pseudomonadati; Pseudomonadota; Betaproteobacteria; Burkholderiales; Oxalobacteraceae
Description: Bacterial large subunit ribosomal RNA
Rfam family: Bacterial large subunit ribosomal RNA
Source: Rfam by way of RNAcentral